This is a long non-coding RNA of Eutrema salsugineum, 895 nucleotides long. RefSeq lists it as uncharacterized. NCBI's taxonomy places the organism in Eukaryota, Viridiplantae, Streptophyta, Magnoliopsida, Brassicales, Brassicaceae. The record is from RefSeq and is a predicted model, not a curated record. The transcript has 4 exons.
CUGAAGAAAAAAAAUAAAAUAAAAACUUCCUUCGGUUUACCAUUUUUCUUCUUCUCUUCUGUUUCUUUUCUUCUUUCUGCUCCGUGUCACUAUUUGAAUCUCUGAUUAUCUCGUUUCCUUCAAAAUUCUUGUUCCCGGAAUUUGAUUCUUUUCUCACGUUUUAGAUUUGAAUUCCCAACGGGAAGCAACCUCCUUCUUCUUCAUGUUUCUCCCUUUGAAUCUCCCGAAAAUCUCGAGCUCUGUCGUGUAGUGACAAUUGGGAAUUUUUUUCAGCUCCGAUUCACCGUUUUUAAGAUCGAUAACGGAAGCUAGAGAUUCGAUUCCGGAUUCGGAUUGCAUUGAUUCCCACGGAUUUGCUGGGAAUCGAGUAGAAAAUGGCGAAGCGUGGAUAUAAGCUGCAGGAGUUUUGGCACAUUCCGCAAAUGUAAAUUGCUUAAAUAUUGGAAAGAAGACAUUACGGGUCCUUAUUACUGGUGGUGAUGAUUACAAGGUCAACCUUUGGGCGAUCGGCAAGCCUACUUCUUUAAUGUGUAGUGGUUCGAGCUUUUACUGGACAUAGAUCCAACUGUUCUGCUGUUGAAUGUCAUCCGUUUGGUGAAUUUUUGGCAUCAUAGAUCAAGUGACACGAAUUUGAAGAUUUGGGACAUCAGAAAGAAGGGAUGCAUACAGACGUACAAGGGUCAUACUCGUGGCAUCAACACUAUCAAAUUUACUCCCGAUGGUCGUUGGGUAGUGACUGGAGGACUUGACAAUGUUGUAAAGGUAUGGGAUUUGACUGCUGGAAAGCUUAUACAUGAUCACCGGUCUGAGGUUUAUUUGCGCUGUAACCCUGCGGGGAAUCAUUGUAAUUUGUAACCUUUCAGUUUCAUCUAUGAAAAUGAAUUAAAUUAUAAAA